UGGAAUCCUUGAGACCACGGAGCCAGUUGU
This 30-nucleotide non-coding RNA is filed under the name Homo sapiens (human). Lineage: Eukaryota; Metazoa; Chordata; Mammalia; Primates; Hominidae. The record is from RNAcentral.